This 335-nucleotide ribosomal RNA is filed under the name uncultured Polaribacter sp. Its description in RNAcentral is "bacterial SSU rRNA". It matches the Rfam family "Bacterial small subunit ribosomal RNA", at positions 128 to 462 of the family's 1533-position model. Lineage: Bacteria; Pseudomonadati; Bacteroidota; Flavobacteriia; Flavobacteriales; Flavobacteriaceae. The record is from RNAcentral.
ACCUUUUACAGAGGAAUAGCCUUUAGAAAUGAAGAUUAAUGCCUCAUAGUAUUGUAGACUGGCAUCAGUUUAUAAUUAAAGAUUUAUCGGUAAAAGAUGGCUAUGCGUCCUAUUAGUUAGUUGGUAAGGUAACGGCUUACCAAGACAGCGAUAGGUAGGGGUCCUGAGAGGGAGAUCCCCCACACUGGUACUGAGACACGGACCAGACUCCUACGGGAGGCAGCAGUGAGGAAUAUUGGACAAUGGAGGAGACUCUGAUCCAGCCAUGCCGCGUGUAGGAAGAAUGCCCUAUGGGUUGUAAACUACUUUUAUACAGGAAGAAACACUGGUAUGUA